Long non-coding RNA from Exaiptasia diaphana, 570 nucleotides. RefSeq lists it as uncharacterized. The record is from RefSeq and is a predicted model, not a curated record. Lineage: Eukaryota; Metazoa; Cnidaria; Anthozoa; Actiniaria; Aiptasiidae. The transcript has 2 exons.
GAAAUUAACCUGCGAAUUUUUUCAUCUCGGAUUUGUUGCAGAUUUUCUUUUGCCGCUUCGUCCUCAGGAGUGCUGAAGUCAUCAGUGUUGUCUAUUGAUAUAUCCUACAAUACGACAAAAACAAAAUGGACGUUAUGCCCAGUUCGGAGAAGGAUUUGUGGUUUACGUUUCUAGUCUGCGGAAGCUACACGUUGAACAUUGCAAAAGGGAAUAUGAUUCUUUUCAGCCUGGGUACAUCAGGUAUUUUGCUAUGGAGAGGCUGCUUAGAGGAAUGUCAAACGUUUCACUGAUACAUUGAUGUAAAGAUGAAGACGUCGCUCCAUUCGGAGCAUCGUAGAUUAACUGAAACGAUACAAUGAUGAGAACUUUUCAUAACGCACUUUAGAUAUUUUGGUCGGGAAGAGAGAAUUGAAGUAGAGGCUCUGGGGAAAUAAUAGAUAACCCUUUUGUCCCGGUGGAUCUUCGCCUUUAGCUCUUUUGUACCCUUGUCCCUUCGCUUGUGACCAGCCAAUUUCCCAUCAUGCUUUGUUCUAAUAAAUUAGCGUUGGUGUGCAGUAUCUAUACAGUUCA